RNAcentral lists this ribosomal RNA (468 nucleotides) under uncultured bacterium. RNAcentral describes it as "partial 16S ribosomal RNA". It matches the Rfam family "Bacterial small subunit ribosomal RNA", at positions 28 to 507 of the family's 1533-position model. The record is from RNAcentral.
GACGAACGCUGGCGGCGUGCUUAACACAUGCAAGUCGAGCGGAAAGGCCAUGCUUUUGUGGGGUGCUCGAGAGGCGAACGGGUGAGUAACACGUGAGUAUCCUGCCCUUGUAUUAGGGAUAACUCCUGGAAACUGGGGCUAAUACCGGGUAGGAGCUCCUGCUGCACGUUGGGGGUUGGUAAGAUGCGGCGGUAGGGGAUGGAUGCGAGGUUUAUGAGCUGGUUGGGGGGGUAGUGGAUGACCAAGGCUUUGACGGGUAGCCGGCAUGGGAGGGUGACCGGGCACAAGGGUACUGCGGUACGGCGCAGAAGGCUACGGGAGGCAGUAGUGGGAAAUAUGGCAGAAUGGGGGGAAGCCAGAGGCAGCAACGCCGCGUGCGGAAUGAUGUCCUUCGGGGUGUAAACAGAUGUGGCCUGUGACGAAGCCGGAGUGACGGUAAUGGGUAAAGAAGCACCGGCUAACUACGUG